Myotis lucifugus (little brown bat) is the source of this 405-nucleotide long non-coding RNA. RefSeq lists it as uncharacterized. The record is from RefSeq and is a predicted model, not a curated record. The transcript is spliced from 2 exons. Lineage: Eukaryota; Metazoa; Chordata; Mammalia; Chiroptera; Vespertilionidae.
CCUCCACUCCCCUGGUAGGUCCCACAGGGCUGUGCCACACAGCCAGGAAUCUGCUGAAUCACCUUCCUAUUUUUCUCCACAGGCCAAAAGUCACCAGGGAAGAGGGAUCAGGAGACCUACCUGCUUAGAGAGUUCCAAAGAAAUGUUUAUCCCAAGUAACUUCAAAAGAAAACAUUCACAGAGGGAGAUUUCCACAGACAUUCGCUCAGACCCCAAAACCAACAGAUGGUACUCAUGUUCCUGUCUGUCGUCCCGUGUCCUCACUGAUGAAAGCGACAGCUCGAGAAACAGAUGCUAGUUGUCAAAGACAGCCGCGGUGCUGGGAAGGCCUGACUGCAGACUGGCGAUCAACUCUACAUCCUGUGAAAAACACUUUUCAUAGGCUUAAAAAAGAUCUGUGUUUAA